This 3265-nucleotide long non-coding RNA is filed under the name Homo sapiens (human). RNAcentral describes it as "HSALNT0114331". Lineage: Eukaryota; Metazoa; Chordata; Mammalia; Primates; Hominidae. The record is from RNAcentral.
CCCAGACUGGUCUGGAACUCCUGGCCUCAAGCAAUCCUCCUACCUCGGCUUCCCAAAGUGCUAGGAUUACACAUAUGAGCCACCUUGCUCAGUCCAAAUUUCUUCAGUUUCAAGGAUGUACAAGGAUAACCCUCCAAUACAUUAGUCUCUUUUAUUUUAAAAAGUAGUAUUUAGAGUAUAUUUAUUUAAUGUAGAAUCAAAGGGAGAGUAUAGAAACAUAACUUGGAUGUCUAUGAACAAAGAUGAUUCUUUUUAGGGACAAAAUUGUAUGGUGUAUAAUGAGUUGAAUUUUUCAUGGAAGUUUUAUGCGCUAACUCACAUAUUGGGAUUAUGGUAACUAUACACACACUUAGUCAAGCCAAUAUUAGUCUUUUAAAAGGCAUUUUAAGGACAUUGAAUUAUCUCAUUUUUUGAAAAAAGUAUUUUAUUAUAGCAAGAACACAACAUGAGAUAUGCUCUCUUAAACUUUUAAGUGUACAAAGCAACACUGUUAACUACAGGGGCAGUGUUAUACAGCAUAUCUCUAGAACUUACUCAUCUCUCAUUACUGUAACUUUGCCUGUUGAUUAGCAGCUCCAAAUCCUUCCUGCUUCUGCCCCUGGCAGUCACCAUUCUGCUCUUUGAUUGUAUACUUUGGCUAUUUUAGGUAUGUGAAAAUUAAGGACAGAUCCUAUGCUGACCUGAUAAACAAAGAUAGCUCUUUCGAGCUCAAUGUACAUUGAGUGUAACAAGAGGGAAGGAGGGAGGAAACCACUGCCCAUUUGGGAUUCCUUCAAAUUCACAUCUCUCCAAAAUGGGAGACUUGUAUUUUCUGACAUUCAACUUAAUCGAAGAAUAAAGCUUUAACAGUGGCAUCAGUGACAUGAUGAAUGAUGCAUCAUUUUGAAGUAAUAAUGGUUUUCCCAGUGACUCAGAAAUAGCAGUAUGUUCAGAUUCAGUGUGCCUGUUCAUGAGAGCUCUGCAGAAAUUGCACAUCUGGCUCUUUGCCUGUGCACCUGAAGUUAUCUCAGGAGAAAUUAUACAAAUUAAAUACAGACACAGAGAAGGUCUUUUUUAAUUCAAAGGAAAAGAAUAUAUAUUCAAGAAAAGCAAAAAAGGUAAGAGAAAAGGUAAGGGACUGUAGUGAUAUUAAGCUAGGAAACUAACAAAAUGAUGACAAUAUAAAAUAAAUGAUGUGAAAAGAACAACAAAAACAAUAUAAAGUAGAAAUGAAAAUAUAUUGUGUUGGCUCAGGAAAAUAUUUAAAUUACUUUCUUUCUUCUAUUCCAUAGGUGGAAGUUGGGCCUUUGGUCAUUAAUUCUCUCUCUCUCUCUUGCUAAUUUUUGCAAAUAGGGAGAACUUGGAACAUCUGCCAAAAUUUUUAUUUUGUGCUUUAUUUUGGCUACCUGUUUAUUCCAUAGAACUAUGACUUGUCCUGGUGAUUCAGGCUUACUCCUUAAUUUCUGAACUGAUUGCCAGAGAGUCAGGGAUAUACACAUACAUUAUAUAUACACACACACACACACACACACACACACACACACACACACACAUAUAUAUAUACACACACAUACAUAUAUAUAUAUACACACACAUACAUAUACAUAUAUGGGAGAUUAUAUCUAUAUCUAUAUCUAUGUCUAUCCCUCCCAUGUUAUUUCCUGCUUUUCUACUACUUGUUCCACUUUCCCCAGGUCUUUUGAAACUAAAAAUAAAAUUAUCACCUCACUGUAAGUAUCAUGUCUUCUGCUUCAGGGGUUGCACACUGCUUCAAGGUAGUAAUUGUUAAUUAUUCAAGACUGACUUCUUGUAAAGUAAUCUUCUAGAAAGACAGCUGGACUUUUAAGACUUCAUGAACUCUAAAGAUAUGGCAGGCCAGGAUCCAAGGCCAAAGGUAUAAUACCUCCAAAAGCUACGGUUAUGAGUCUUGGAAGUCAGCCCUUGGUUGUAUCAGAGGAAAUACAGUUCUCUCUAACCAUGAAUGCUGAAGAGGAAGAAUCAAGCUGGAGGCUAGGAUUAUGCCAUAUCAUACUGCUUUUGGAUCUCAGCACACAGGAUGCCAGGGGAGGGUAAUGUUCUUACCAUGAAGCUUGUCAUCAGAGGUCCAAAAGAAGAGAGCCACAAAAUGUGUACUGUUCAAUGUUGUGUGCACAUCUAGCAUGAAACAUCUUUUGCAUCAGUGACCAAUCUGAGUACUUACAUCUUAACUCUAAGGCACACACUAAAAUACAUAAUGCCUGGUUGUUCCUAGAUACUUACUUGGUAUAAAAUUUAAUUUUUUCUAAAAAUGAUCUUAUAUGGUAGCUUUUUUUUUUGAGACGGAGUUUCGCUCUUGUUGCCCAGGCUGGAGGGCAAUGGCAUGACCUCAGCUCACUGCAACCUCCAUCUCCCGGGUUCAAGCAAUUCUCCUGCUUCAGCCUCCAGAGUAGCUGGGAUCACAGGCGCCCAUCACCAUGCCCAGCUAAUUUUUUGUAUUUUUAGUAGAGACAGGGUUUCCCCAUGUUGGCCAGGCUGGUCUUGAACUCCUGACCUCAGGUGAUCCACCUGCCUCUGCCUCCCAAAGUUCUGGGAUUACAGGCGUGAGCCACCACGCCCGGUCAUAUGUAGCUCUUUACUGUCUUUACAGCAUGAUAGCUGCUUAAUACAUAUUCAAUAUUCAUUGAAUUAUAACAUUCACUGAAUUGCAAUAUUUUUUCUCAUUGUUCACUCUGUUUUCCGAUUUUUCACAUACCCAUCCACAUCCCCAAUGCUCACAACUAGCCGCAACAUGAAUACUUUAAAUCAAUGAAGUCCCUGAAAUAAAAAAUUAUGAAUAAUCAUUAUUUUUGUCGUUUUUGUCAUUGUUUACAUCUAGUGAGACAGAAUUCUUUAUUACCAAAUUCUGUUCACGUUAUAGCCACUUCCUUCUCUGAAACUUCAUUAUCACCAUUAUAGCUUCUGGUAUGAUCAGCUAAUCUCACCAUUACAAAAGUCACUUACCUGAUCCUCCUGAAAAGUGUCUUGACCUAACCCUAAUACAAAGCAUUAAUUUUUUAAGUUUUCUUUUAUGGGAAAUUAUUUACAUUUAAUUAUAACACACAUAUAGUAAAAUGUACAUAUCAUCAAUACACACUUCCACGAAGUUUAACAAAAUGAAUUAAUACAUAUAACCACCAUAGAUCAAAUAAAAUAUUUAAACUUUCAGAUAGCCAUACUAAUGGCCUAAAUGCAAAUCUCUCUGCAUAGUAUUUCAAAAACUGUAGAGAUGAACCGCAAGAACAAAAUGAACACACAUUCUACAUCUUCA